UGGGGAAUAUUGCACAAUGGGCGCAAGCCUGAUGCAGCCAUGCCGCGUGUGUGAAGAAGGCCUCGGGUUGUAAAGCACUUUCAGCGAGGAGGAAGGUGGUGAACUUAAUACGUUCAUCAAUUGACGUUACUCGCAGAAGAAGCACCGGCUAACUCCGUGCCAGCAGCCGCGGUAAUACGGAGGGUGCAAGCGUUAAUCGGAAUUACUGGGCGUAAAGCGCACGCAGGCGGUUUGUUAAGUCAGAUGUGAAAUCCCCGGGCUCAACCUGGGAACUGCAUUUGAAAACUGGCAAGCUAGAGUCUCGUAGAGGGGGGUAGAAUUCCAGGUGUAGCGGUGAAAUGCGUAGAGAUCUGGAGGAAUACCGGUGGCGAAGGCGGCCCCCUGGACGAAGACUGACGCUCAGGUGCGAAAAGCGUGGGGAGCAAAACAGGAUUAGAUACCCUGGUAGUCCACGCUGUAAAACGAUGUCGAUUUUGGAGGUUGUGCCCUUGAGGCGUGGCUUCCGGAGCUAACGCGUUAAAUCGACCGCCUGGGGAGUACGGCCGCAAGGUUAAAAACUUAAAAGGAAUUGAC
This 573-nucleotide ribosomal RNA is filed under the name uncultured bacterium. RNAcentral describes it as "partial 16S ribosomal RNA". It matches the Rfam family "Bacterial small subunit ribosomal RNA", at positions 355 to 914 of the family's 1533-position model. The record is from RNAcentral.